Ribosomal RNA from Synechococcus sp. WH 5701, 1486 nucleotides. It matches the Rfam family "Bacterial small subunit ribosomal RNA". Lineage: Bacteria; Bacillati; Cyanobacteriota; Cyanophyceae; Synechococcales; Synechococcaceae. The record is from Rfam.
ACAACGGAGAGUUUGAUCCUGGCUCAGGAUGAACGCUGGCGGCGUGCUUAACACAUGCAAGUCGAACGAGCCUUCGGGCUAGUGGCGGACGGGUGAGUAACGCGUGGGAAUCUGCCCUCAGGAGGGGGAUAACGGCCGGAAACGGCCGCUAAUACCCCAUAUGCCGAGAGGUGAAACGAAUUUCGCCUGGGGAUGAGCCCGCGUCUGAUUAGCUAGUUGGUGAGGUAAUGGCUCACCAAGGCAUCGAUCAGUAGCUGGUCUGAGAGGAUGAUCAGCCACACUGGGACUGAGACACGGCCCAGACUCCUACGGGAGGCAGCAGUGGGGAAUUUUCCGCAAUGGGCGCAAGCCUGACGGAGCAACGCCGCGUGAGGGACGAAGGCCUCUGGGCUGUAAACCUCUUUUCUCAAGGAAGAAGACAUGACGGUACUUGAGGAAUAAGCCACGGCUAAUUCCGUGCCAGCAGCCGCGGUAAUACGGGAGUGGCAAGCGUUAUCCGGAAUUAUUGGGCGUAAAGCGUCCGCAGGCGGCCUUGAAAGUCUGUUGUUAAAGCGUGGAGCUCAACUCCAUUUCAGCAAUGGAAACUACAAGGCUAGAGUGUGGUAGGGGCAGAGGGAAUUCCCGGUGUAGCGGUGAAAUGCGUAGAUAUCGGGAAGAACACCAGUGGCGAAGGCGCUCUGCUGGGCCAUAACUGACGCUCAUGGACGAAAGCCAGGGGAGCGAAAGGGAUUAGAUACCCCUGUAGUCCUGGCCGUAAACGAUGAACACUAGGUGUCGGGAGAAUUAACCCUUCCGGUGUCGUAGCCAACGCGUUAAGUGUUCCGCCUGGGGAGUACGCACGCAAGUGUGAAACUCAAAGGAAUUGACGGGGGCCCGCACAAGCGGUGGAGUAUGUGGUUUAAUUCGAUGCAACGCGAAGAACCUUACCAGGGUUUGACAUCCUGCGAAUCCCUUGGAAACUUGGGAGUGCCUUCGGGAACGCAGUGACAGGUGGUGCAUGGCUGUCGUCAGCUCGUGUCGUGAGAUGUUGGGUUAAGUCCCGCAACGAGCGCAACCCACGUCUUUAGUUGCCAGCAUUCAGUUGGGCACUCUAGAGAGACCGCCGGUGAUAAACCGGAGGAAGGUGUGGAUGACGUCAAGUCAUCAUGCCCCUUACAUCCUGGGCUACACACGUACUACAAUGCUACGGACAAAGGGCAGCAAACUCGCGAGAGCUAGCAAAUCCCAUAAACCGUGGCUCAGUUCAGAUCGUAGGCUGCAACUCGCCUACGUGAAGGAGGAAUCGCUAGUAAUCGCAGGUCAGCAUACUGCGGUGAAUACGUUCCCGGGCCUUGUACACACCGCCCGUCACACCAUGGAAGUUGGCCAUGCCCGAAGUCGUUACUCCAACCCGCAAGGGAGGAGGACGCCGAAGGUGGGGCUGAUGACUGGGGUGAAGUCGUAACAAGGUAGCCGUACCGGAAGGUGCGGCUGGAUCACCUCCUAA